UGCAGCACACCCAGCGCCGCGCGCAGGCAUUUUCCUCCAAAAAACGGGCUUCCCUGUUUCCAGUUCUUCUCCCGCGCGCCUCCCUUGAAUCGGCAAACCCCGCCCUAAGCCGGCGCCGUUCGAGCGGUCGUAACCCAUGGGGCAUCUUCGGGCUCCGGAAGCCGCCGGGAACCACGCCGGGUGCGGCCUUCGGCCACCACCGUGCGCAGGGCCGAGUGCGUCCUCCGGCCGCCGCCGUAACGCGCGCCGGCCGCGGCCUCUGGGCGCCGCCGUGAGCAGGGCCGGGUGCGUCCUCCGGGCGCCGCCGUGACUCGCGCCAGCUUAGGGCUGCGACCGCCCCCCCCCCCCCUAAGAUCCCUCCAGCUAGGACGAGGAGGCGACGGCCACCAACAAGGCACGUGCAGUAUUUCUCUUUCUUGACUUGAUUUCUUAAAUCAGAGCAUUUGGGGAGCUUUUGGUUGCUUUGAUUCGUGCAAAGACAUGUGUUGAUGCUGUGAAUUUGAUUGAAUCAACACGAGCACGAAGAAUCGAACCAAUUUCGUUUUGGGGAGAAAAACUACAUUCCUGCUCGUGAUAUGAAAUUCCCGGUGUUUGAGUUCGAAUUGAGACAUGACUCUUUCGGGAUAGCUUACCAACUCCAUGGAGAUCACCUGUGCAUAGUUUGGGAGCGAUUCCUUUUGAUUUGGUCAAAUUUCGGGUGUUUUCCUCUUUAUUUAUCCUGUCGUCCUUCUCUUUGCAGCCUGUUCGGUUGAACUGAAUGGCCGGGCUGGACUACUGUUCCGACUGACUGUAGCGACUUGUUAUUAUAUAUGAUUAACAGACGGCGGGGCAACAUACUAUCGGUACUGUAGCUGCAGUGGUACUGUAGAUACAGUACUCCAGACCAUCCCAUCAAGUGCAACCGAACGGGACGCAGGCUGCGGCAGCGGGUUUCAGGAGGAGCCUCGAAGGGGAGGCGGUGGGGAUCAAGGAGCAGGUGCUCACCAGGCAGCGCUGGAGGAGGCCGCCGCCACCACGAAGACCCUGAACGCAAACGGCGCGUGCCGGCGAGGGAAGCUGCUGUGGUUUCCUGAAACGUUAAGUGCAGGAUGCUCAUCUCUGAAAUCUCAGUUUUGGGUAGCUGACUAUUCUUGCUAUUUCCUGUUUGAGUUGUUAUGGUGCAUAGCUAGAACCAAAUUAUGAAUUGAACAACCGACACUGCCCCAAAUUAUUAUAGAAAUAAUAAUUGUCUUAAUUGAAUGUGUUUUCUGGCAACUGUAGCCCAUCCAGGUCUACCUUUAGUAUUUGAUGACCAUAAAUAUGUGUAUGCAUAUUACCUAAACAUUUCACUGCUACUGAAAAGCUAAACAGCUCGAUAUAUUUCUAUGAUUUAUGCUCAGAGUUCUACAACUCUUGUGUGUGUCUAUACUGAAUAUUCAGAUGCUUCAAUUUCAUAAUGUAUGUUUUUUUUACGAACUUCAUAAUGCAUAAUUGAGAACUGCAUUUAUUUACAGUCGAGGUAGAAGGCCCAAGAGGAUAUGCAGAAAGUGGAAAAGAAACUUGCCUUUUAUUUCAAGUUUAUUUGCUUUCCAUUGUUGUUUUUAUUUUCUUGGGUGCCACUUAAUUCUCAAGGUCAUCCUAUCUCAACCAUCGAAACUUUUUUUGUGUUCUGUUCUUGCAGGUGUUUUGAGUUGUAGGUCCUGUGUCGAGCAGAGGCCCAAAUUAAAUCCACAAAUCUGGUGUGCUAAUUUUGGCAACAGAUUUCAAGAGUUAUUUGUUCUAAUUUCAAAAGUUCCAAAACAAGUUGUGAGAAUUUAACCCAUCUGAAUAAACUUAUUUCAAUUCACAGGCUACAAUUCCAUUUUGUUGGGGAAACAGGAGAUGUAAUCUUUAAGAUAAAAUAAAAAUUCAGAGUUACGUUUGGUUAUAAUCUACUUUCACUAAAUUGAUGUUUCACUUCUCAUUUCUUGCCGUGUACCCUGAUCAGUCGUAACAUGUAUAGUUCUCUGUUCAUCCUGCAUUUGAGUUGAUGUUGCAGAACCUCUGAACAGCUACAGUUUUUUUUUUUUUUUUGCAUUUGGAUGCUUCAGACAAGCAGGCUUCACAACUGAAGUUGAACUUCUUGUCAUUUGAGCAUUCGAAGCCAUUGGAAUUUUUUUUGACAAUGCAAACAACCAAUAUUUGUGGUGGUUCUCCAGACUUAUUGAUCAAAACAAGAGAUGUAAUAUUUAAGAUGAAAAGUAGAUGGCAUGAAGGCUUUGAAGAAAGGAAAAAAAUGCAUAUGUUGCAUGGUCAGGAAUGCAAUAGUGUUCUCUUUUUUCAUUUUUGGUGUAGGCCAUUUAAUUUGCUCUUCAGUUCCUUGAUUCAAAUUUUGAAUAGUUUCAACAUGUCCAACUGAAGAUAUGAGAUUGUAUUAGCCUAUCAUGUCCUAAACUCCCGUGUAUGAUCUGGUUUGAUGAUUCUUGUAAGUUACGGAUAGGUGAUGUUGAUCAUGGUCUGUGUGUUUCACUUAUAGAAAGGGACUAGACUAAUUGACUUACAUUGCAGUUUUGUUUGUCGUAUAGCUUUCAACACAUUUCUGCCA
Long non-coding RNA from Panicum virgatum (switchgrass), 2563 nucleotides. RefSeq lists it as uncharacterized. The transcript is spliced from 2 exons. NCBI's taxonomy places the organism in Eukaryota, Viridiplantae, Streptophyta, Magnoliopsida, Poales, Poaceae. The record is from RefSeq and is a predicted model, not a curated record.